UGUGCUGUUACGCUUGUCUCCACAUGCUUCCUUGUAUCCUUCUCACUUGCCCUAUCUGUUCCUCAGGCAGAUGCGGUAUCUUCCCUGGAAGCAUAAGAUGUUGAAGAUGAGUACUCGAGAGCAAUGGCAGGUAAGUAAGUUCCAGGCAGUCAGUUCCUGGCUGGAAGCUUGAUUCCAAGUGCUGACUGAUUGCUCUCUUUCUCCUUGUCUUGCAGGUAAGAACAAGGCCAAAGGAAAAGACAGGGAAAAAGCAUGAUAUGGGAUACUCUUGCUUUUAACCCUGAUGAUAUGAGAUAUUCUUGCUCUAGUAUAACUUGUUUGCAGAGGUAUUAUCGGGGGGAAAGAAAGCUGAAUAUUUCGAAAGGCUUCGUUGAGAGUGCCCUCUCAUAUAUGAGGAAGGGUUGAGCAUUUUUGCAGGUCUGUCUGUCCGUUGGGGAUAGAGGUUGACAUAUAUAAGAGUCUCCUUAACAACAAGUAGUAAUGCUAUUCCUUUACCCUGUCAGAGCACUUUGAAAAAGUGGUCUGUGGUAUGUGGAAAGCUGAUGUUGCGUGUGAAGAUUACAGACAGCUUUAUCCAAGGAGAUCCGGCUCUUGUGGUUGGGAAAGUGUUGCCUCUUCGGUUUUCGAACAAGCAAUCCUAUCAGGGAUCUGGCUCUCGAGAUUCGGAGAACGAUGUCUCUUCGAUUUUUGAGAAAGCAAUCAUGCUGGGGGUCUGGCUCUCGAGAUUCGGAGAGCGGUGUCUCUUCGAUUUUUGAGAAAGUAAUCAUGUUGGGAGUCUGGCUCUCGAGAUUCGGAGGGCGGUGCCUCUUCGAUUUUGGAGCAAGCAAUCUUGUUGGGAGUGUUUUCUCGAAUGUGAGUAAAGGUUGGGCAUGUUUGCUAGUCUACCUUGCCACGAAGCACAGAGGUUGACACACAAGGACUUUCCAAUUAUCCAGCAAUGGUACUGUUCCUUUACCCUCUCUUCGAUUUUUGAGAAAGUAGUCAUGUUGGGAGUCUGGCUCUCGAGAUUCGGAGGACGGUGCCUCUUCGAUUUUGGAGCAAGCAAUCUUGUUGGGAGUGUUUUCUCGAAUGUGAGUAAAGGUUGGGCAUGUUUGCUAGUCUACCUUGCCACGAAGCACAGAGGUUGACACACAGGGACUUUCCAAUUAUCCAGCAGUGGUACUGUUCCUUUACCCUUGUGGGUAAUAAUAUGGUAGCUAGACCUUCAAAAUUUAUGUGUCUAAACUUUGUUAGUGCUGUUUCUUUGCUAUUCUUUUACCCUUCUUGGUCAGAGCGAUGUAGUGGGAGCUGCAAGCUUCACGUGCUCAACUUUGGCAGAGAACUUUGGCAAAGUUAUCUGUGGUACCCAUGAGCUACUGUUGCGUGUGGGAAGUGGGUGAUUGAACAGUAAGAUUCAUGUGCUUUUCUACUUCACCAGAAGUUUUCGACAGAAUGCCCAUAAUUUCCGCAAAGCUGAGUGUGCGUGUGACAGGUGCUGACAAGGCUGGAAAAGUAGGUGCCUCUUCGAUUUCUGAGAUCGGCCCUCGUGGUCUCUGAGCAGCCCAGCUUUUGAGAAAGCAAGCGCCUCUUCGAUUUCUGAGAUCGGCCUUCGUGGUCUUUGAGCAGCCCAACUUUUGAGAAAGCAAACGCCUCUUCGAUUUCUGAGAUCGACCCUCGUGGUCUCUGAGCAGCCCAGCUUUUGAGAAAGCAAACGCCUCUUCGAUUUCUGAGCAGGCGCCUCUUCGAUUUCUGAAGCUCCGUCGAGUGCAGAUUUUUAUAGGGGCUGGCAUUAAGUUCCAAAGCACACUUGAAUCUCCACCAGUAGAAGCUCCAUUCUUGCACUUCUAAGAUCUUGAUUUGUUCGACCUCUUUCUCUCUUCAACACCUUUGAAAAUGUCUGGCCCCUCCGACCGUCGUUUUGACUUGAACCUUGUUGAAGAGGCAGCCCCGCCUUCUCCAGACAACAUAUGGCGCCCAUCCUUCGUCUCCCCUACUGGUCCUCUUACCGUUGGGGAUUCCGUGAUGAAGAAUGAUAUGACCGCUGCGGUGGUGGCCAGGAACCUUCUCACUCCCAAAGAUAACAGACUACUUUCCAAACGGUCUGAUGAGUUAGCUGUUAAGGAUUCUCUGGCUCUCAGUGUUCAGUGUGCAGGUUCUGUGUCUAAUAUGGCCCAACGCCUAUUUGCUCGAACCCGCCAAGUUGAAUCAUUGGCGGCUGAAGUGAUGAGUCUCAAACAGGAGAUUAGAGGGCUCAAGCAUGAGAAUAAACAGUUGCACCGGCUCGCACAUGACUAUGCUACAAACAUGAAGAGGAAGCUUGACCAGAUGAAGGAAUCUGAUGGUCAGGUUUUACUUGAUCAUCAUCAGAGAUUUGUGGGUUUGUUCCAAAGGCAUUUAUUGCCUUCGUCUUCUGGGGCUGUACCGCGUAAUGAAGCUCCAAAUGAUCAACCUCUGAUGCCUCCUCCUUCUAGGGUUCUGUCCAGUACUGAGGCUCCGAAUGAUCCCCCUCCGGUGCCUUCUCUUUCUGGGGCUCUACCGACUGCUGAGACUUCUCCUAAGCAACCUUUGUGAAGGCUCCUCUUGUUUGUUUAUUUUGACUCAUGUAUAUGUACAUAUUUGUAGCUUAUCGGGGAUAUCAAUAAAUAAGCUUUCCUUCAUUUCAACGUAUUGUGUUAAAUACACCAAAGCCUUCUUCGCUAAGUUCUUUGAAUUUUCUUUUGUUGUUGAAGCUUUGUGAGUGGAGCAUGUAGGUUGAGGUAGUGUUCCCUUAAUUUCCUGAGUGAGGAAAACUUCUCGGUUGGAGACUUGGAAAAUCCAAGUCACUGAGUGGGAUCGGCUAUAUGAAUCUUAGAACGCCAUUGUGCUCGGUCCUGUGUCAUGUCCUUCGUUAGAUCCAAGUACUCUAAGUCUUUUCUUAGAGUCUCUUCCAAAGUUUUCCUAGGUCUUCCUCUACCCCUUCGGCCCUGAACCUCUGUCCCAUAGUCGCAUCUUCUAAUCGGAGCGUCAGUAGGCCUUCUUUGCACAUGUCCAAACCACCGUAACCGAUUUUCUCUCAUCUUUCCUUCAAUUUCGGCUACUCCUAUUUUACCCCGGAUAUCCUCAUUCCUAAUCUUAUCCUUUCUCGUGUGCCCACACAUCCAACGAAGCAUCCUCAUCUCCGCUACACCCAUUUUGUGUACGUGUUGAUGCUUCACCGCCCAACAUUCUGUGCCAUACAGCAUCGCCGGCCUUAUUGCCGUCCUAUAAAAUUUUCCCUUGAGCUUCAGUGGCAUACGGCGGUCACACAACACGCCGGAUGCACUCUUCCACUUCAUCCAUCCAGCUUGUAUUCUAUGGUUGAGAUCUCCAUCUAAUUCUAUAAGUUCAACUUCAUUGAUACUCCUAGUCAGGGUACUCUUCUGCUUUUAUUUAACCCUGUAGCUCUUCAUGUGCCCCUUCUCUCAUAUAUUUAUGUCAUGCUUGGGCAUGGGGACAAUGUAAUUGAAUGAAAAAUCAUAAUUACUUACUGGUAUAAGGAUGGACAUUAAGUGUACGGAUAAAAGAUUAGUGUUUGAUUUGCUUGUAACUGUGUUUCCAUGGGUUCAAGCUAUGAAGUAUUAUGUCUUAUCGUCUCGCAUAUCUGCCCAAGAUAAAUACGAUUGUAUUUCUGAUUUGCUUGUAGGCCUCUCUAUCUUAUCCAAAGCACUUCAAGGAAUUUUCCUUUGUAUAUAAUUCUUCUGGAUUGGUCUUCAUUUUUCGUUUGCCGCUUCCUUUUCUGUCUUAUUUUAUACUUCUCUCUUCUCAAUAUUCUUGAUUCCUAUCAAAGAAAUAGGGCCCUAAGCACAUGCAGAAAUUUAAGUUCAGGAACAUGAUAUUAUCUUUGUAUGUUACCUCUUCUACCAUGGUUGGUGGAAUGUUAACGAACCACCAAUCCAUGAGUCAGAAGUUAGCAAACCAAUGAGCAUGGUAAUUUCCUUGUCGUUUUCCAUGGUUAAGCUCUCAAUUCACGAUAAUUAUAUGCGAUGAAGGCAUAAUAGCUAAUCCCAUCUGAAAAUGUCAAAUCUACUUAUUUUAAUUUUUUUUCGAUAAAAGUUUGGUCAAAGGCCAUGCUCAGUCUCUUCAUCCGAAUCUCUUUAUCAACAAUUAAGUUAUGUGGGCAAGUGUUAAACUAGACAUUUCACUUGAACACCCUUUCUUGAGUUUGAUUUGGAUGUAAUACAAAAUUAUUCGUUUUGCAGAGAGCGUUCCAGUACGCAGGCUGAAGAUGCAGAGCCAUCGAAGACAUCAUCUCUUUGGGGGAAUAUGAAGUCAUUUGCCAAUGGCAUUAUUAGUCUUUUCAGAAAGCAGUAAAUCUUUGUCUAGGUAACUAUUGGAAGUUUUGGUAUAUUAGUGUAUUUGCAAGUGGUGAUGGCGUAUCUGUCGAGCUUUCUUUGCUCUUGCUACCACUUUUAUCAAUUAAUUCCUUCUUCUAGUUGGAGAGAUGUAUAGCUUUGCAGCCUCAUAUUCUGAAGCUGUAGCAGUUGUUUGAAUAGUUGCAGUGAAGCUUAAAUUUCAAAUUCUUAAGGUCGUUUAUAUGAAAAUCUUUAGAGCCUGUUUGGUACUCUACUUGAAGCCAACUUUUUAAAUUAAAAAACAAUUUUCAAGUUUUACGACUUAAAAACUUAUUUGGUAGGAGUCGUAGGACUAUUUUAAAAAACUAAACUUAAGACUAACUAAAAAAUAGUCUACUCUCUAAAAACAUAAAAAGUGAGUUUUUAGAAUUUUUAAACUUAAACUCACCCUCCCCUCACUCCAAAUCUAUCUCCCUCUCUUUUAUUCUUUCUCUCUCCUCUUUUUUUUUUUUUAACCUUUUUCGUCUCUCCUCCAAUCCACUCUAUUCAUUCUCUCGAUUCUUUUCUCAUUCCCCUUCCUCUUUGUCCCGUCCAAUCCUCUCUCUUCUUCCUCUUUCUUUCAAUCAUCACUUACUUUCUUUUCUCGUCUAUCCUCUUUCUCCCUCUCAUGCGACCCUCUCUUUUUAGAUCUCUUUGUCUAGUUUAAAUCGUAAGAUUUAAAAAUUUUAAAUUGAAAAUCAAUCAAGUUUUUGAGUUUUAAAGAAAAUUGUCUUUAAAAAAUGUUUUGAGAAAUGAUAAAAAAUUUCAAAUAGGAUACCAAACAGGUUAUAUUCUCAUGAAAUUACUGACCAUGAAAGAAAAUAUUACACUUUCUGAGGUAAUUAUAAUGUGCAAAGGGAAAUAAAUACGCAUCGAUCGAAACAUUUUGGAUAAUAGCGUGCAAAGGGAAAACAGUUGCCUGUCCACCGGUAGCAUUUUAAACCGAAAGGUAGAGGGAGCUGAGCUUCAACUUAACGAAGAUCGAACUGAACCAGUAUAUCCCAAAUUAAACCGAAAUACGGGUUUUAAAGUAAAAAGUGAGGGCAAAGUGGAUUACAAGGUCAGUUCAGAGAAAUGAAUUGUAUUGCCUAAAAGAAUAUAUGCAUAUGGUACAUGCUUGAACGAGCAAUUACAAAAACAACGAAACCGAAAAAUAUCCAUCUGGUGUAAAAUGCAUGAAUCGACCUAUGAUUUGGAUACAGUGUCAGUUGCAGUAAGCGUGUUGCGACUUCACUUGCCUCCAGAAUCCAGAUAUGGAGCAACGAAUCAAAAAAUGAGAGGAAUACAACCAAGAAGCCAAUGUAGCUUGCCUGCAGGGUUAUGUUUCUUUUCUAAAGAGCGGAAUCAGCGGCAAAAGCAGCUGCAGCAACGCUUACUUCACCCCCAAGAACUCUCUGGAAAAAGAAAAUUUAACCAUCAUUAUAGUCUUCUCACACUGAAAGUGCAAAAUUUCUGUGUACCGUGUAGCCAGUCGGCACUUCUACACAGUGGAGCGUGGCCAAACACCAUUUGUAUAAAGCAGUUGCAGAAAAGCCAAAGAAACUCUACUCUGUUGCUUUUUUCCGAAUACUCCUCUUCUCUUCUGACCUGUGGUGAAACAACUUAGCUAUGGCUCUCCUCUCGCAAUCCUGCGAUAUUGACAGAAGAGAAGCAGAAAUUUAUAUCCAAUCCACGCCCCUUUUUUCUAUUCUUAAAGAGAAAAAUGCUUGGCUUCUUAUGCAUAAGGAGUAUUCCUCCUCGCAAGAUUGAGGUGUGAAUUGGGAUUUACCCACAUAAGCUUGUGAGGAGAAUAACUUCUUAGUCCUUAUCCAUAAGGCAUCCAAGCACUGUUAUUCUUACUAUUCACCUCAUGUCGGUUCUUACUAUUCACCUCAUGUCGUUUGAGGUGAGAAGAGGUAAUUUUUACGGUAAUUGAAUCAAAUCGAAAUUAUUCACCUAGUUUAUAUUCAGUUUGGCUAUAACCAAUCAUACCUUGAACAUGUUAAGAUGAAAAGGCUUUCCCGGAUUCAUCCUUGUUAACUUCUGGUAUGUAUAAGCAAAACUUAGCUGAUCACGAGGGGUAAAACGCUCAACCUCAUUGAACCAUAGACAGGAAAACAAGUUUGACAUUGGAGUGUGCGCCCGGAUGAUAAAAGACCCUUCUGGUACAUCUGCAGAUGUGAUAAAACAAAUUAUGUCAUGGAUUGGUACAAGCAAGCGCAUUGCAGUCAAAAUAUUAUAAUGAAAACACUCUUUUUUCUCAUUUAAUAAAAUCAUACUGCUGGAAAGAAGCCUGUUGGGAUCCGAGGCAUUAAAUCUUGUUAGGCCAUCAGCCUGGUAGAAUGUAAAUUGUUGAUCUAUGACGGUAUGGUUAUACUUAUUCAAUCUCUUAUUCUGUGCAACCUCUUCCCACACACAGUGUCGGUCGUAGUGAUUGGAAAUUGCAUACUCAUGACCUUUUCGCCACAAAAAGUAUUCCAAUAUGACCAAGGGGUCAAGUUGGAGGCGCAAUUUACUGUCCAGCCAGAUUGAAUACCUGAAAAUUUAUGGAAGGGUUUUAGACGAGCUAAGGAAAAACACCACCCACCAAAUGAACAUACCCAACAAGCAAAGCAUACAAAAGCACAAGUCCUAUUGUAGUAAUAUUCCUCAAUUGUUGGCUUAAUGUCACACUUCCUAGUAUUCUUCAAGAUGUGAAUCAUUUUCGGUAAGACUUGAUUACUGAGAGCAGAAUAUUUGAGUAAUGACUCACAUUUAAUAACUGUUUUUCAUAACUAUUAUGGACACAGAUGCACACGCACAACAUAAUCUACACAACUAACAUGCAUACACACACAAGUUAGCAUCUUUUUUACAACCUUUAAAGGCAGCUACUAAGUAUAACUAACCACCUACAACAUGACAAUUAGUACAUUUUAGUAGUCAAAGUCUCACCUUGCAGAAGGAAAAAGGCGAUGAGGCAAAAGUUUUGGUAUCUUUCCCACUCGCCGCAUAUCAGUGUAUGGUAGGUUCUUCACCACCACAAUCUUCCAUAAACCAAUAAAACCCAUCCUAUCUGGUGUUCGCCCUUCAGCAGUUAGGGUUUGCAAAGUAACUUCAUCAAUGAACAUAACAAAACAAACAUUCUUCCUUGACAAACGAGAGACCUGAAAUCAAGAGAAUUUCGCUUGGGUCACCAUUCUUUUUUACUCUGUAUUUCUUUUCCCCUUUGUUGGCUAUGCCAUUUAUUGCAAAUUUAUGCCUAAAUCAAAGAAUCUUACCUUCUUUUUUUUUUUAAACUGAAUAAAGAUAAAAAAAAAAAUUAAUAAACUAAAAAGUGCAUUGUUAUUGGAAAUUUCCAGUGGAUAACUAUAAGACCAUUAAAGAAGACCAGCCCAAGUAUUAGAAUCAUAUAAACAAAUGUGUGAUUUAACCAGAACAUGGGACAAGAAAAAUCACAACUCUGAAAUAUGGGAAAAUAAAAUCCUACUGAGCAUAAAGUGGACCUGAUGAAGUGAAGAAUGUCUGAGAUUAUCCCAAAUAGUGAAGCAAGUUCAAUCCCAAAGUUACAUUUGAUGUGUUGGUCUACAUUGCACAUCAUUGAAUUUCAACUUAAAAGAGUGUUGCAAGCUUAGAUCAUAAAAGGUCCAUGUUCCACUCUAAUCACAGUACACAGCAGACACUAUAUUCCACAAGUUCAGUAAUGAACAACACAAACCUUGGAGAUUCGUAAUUGACUUCCUUUUUCUCACUAGAAAUGCACUGGACUUGCUCUAUCAUGUGAGAGUUGAACAACCAUGUAAUAAGAGAAAGGCCCGAAACAUUGUUAUUUAUUGGUAGGUGUAAAAGUUAUUGUAAAAGUUAUGACAUGAAGCAAAAGGCAUGAUAUGGUGUAAAAGGUAUAAUGUCUACCGUUAAUCCUAUGAGUUAUAGUUCCAUAUUUCACUUACAUAUGACAUGAGUAAUAGUCCAUAUUCCCUUUUGUUUUCAUUCAUCAAACCCAGCUUAACAUGUCAUGGCGUAAAACUUCAAUUUACUCCUGUGUCAAUGGAUGGUAAAAGCCCAAUGCUUGACAAAGAUGAUAUGAAACAUUUUUUUGUUUUUCCUUGACAAGAAAGAUGAUAUGAAAACUGGAGAACAUCAAACAAAUGCAAUUACAUCCUUAAGAGAACAGUAUAAAAUUGUUCCCCCAUAAAAAAUGAACCUCCUUACCAUUUUAUCAUAAGGUGUCCUCAAGCGAUCUGAAUUUCCAAAGAUACAAGAGCUAACAGCGAUGUGGCAUCUGCUGAUGUAAUUUCUGUCAUCUUCUGCCAAGUCAAAUCCAGUGCUUGGGGAUCCUUGAGGACCUUUAACAAAGCCGCACUUUAUGUUUUGAUCACGUGCCAAAAAGGAAUUUUCCCGUUCUUGCACAGAUUGAUGUCCCGCAAAUCUCGGUUCCCAUUGCUCUUCUCCUUCAGGCUUGUCCUCUACUUCAGCAUACUGCAAGCUGAAUCUUGCAAACUUUCGACUUUCUAAAGGCUCUAUAAGCAUUGCACUAGAGUUUAAAAACUUCAUCUCACAAGAGGAACCUGAAGAAUUUCAUUAUGACGUGUCAAAAACACAACAGCAGCAACAAGGAGCAUCCCCUAAAGUUGCUAGAUCAAAGGACAACUCCUGUCAUGAAGACACAUUCAACUAUAUGCAUAAAACAAUCCUUCAAAAACCAAGCCAGAAAAAAAACAGGUAUAAUGGCUCUUCCAACCAGUCAUGGUCUAAUUCACAGCAUUUACUCCUAACAACCACUUCCUAUAAACACCUGAAAUUUGUUACUCCAAGAGAACAUGCACAAGAAAAUAUCAUGAUUCACAAAACCAGUUCUUAUACAUAAGGAGCAGCAUCAAACAAUCAUUGCCAAGCUCAAGUUUUGUUCUUCCAGUGCCACCUAGUGCAUGUAGGACUGGCAAUACGUAUAAGUUUAAGACAUGCCAAAUUUGCGAAGCCAAAAAUGUAUUGAUACAGAACCAUAAAAAUUAACCAAGCAAAACCAUGAUCGGUUCCUUUGAGGUUAAUGAAGUUUAAGGACUCAACACUACGGUCAUGAUUUUAUUGUACUACCGACAACUUGAGAACGCUGUAGUAAUCUAGCGGCUUCCUUUUCCUUUUUUGUAGUAAUUGAAAUAAAUUAAGGACAUAUAGUAUGGGGAGUGUAGAAAUUACUCCUAUUGCCAAACCAGGAAAAAAGAAGUGGUUGUAGCUUUGAAAAAGAUGAAGCAUAGAAAAGCAGUGGGUCCCAAAGGUAUACUGAUCGAAGUGUGGAAGGUCUUUGAAGAGACGGGUAUAGCAUGGCUCACAAACCUUUUCACUAAGAUUUUGAAAACGAAGAAUACCAAAUGAGUGGCGAAAAAGCACUUUGGUGCCUAUUUACAAGAAUUAGGGUGACAUAAAUGAACUAUAGGAGUAUUAAGUUAAUGAGUCAUACAAUGAAGCUUUGGGAGGAGAAAGUAAUUGAGCAUAGACUAGAAAGAGACAAGGGUCUCAAACAAUCAAUUCGCAUUCAUGCCAGGGCGCUCAACUAUGGAGGCAAUCUAUCCCUGACAGAGAUUGAUGAAACUAUAUAGAGAUACGCAAAAGGAUUAAAGAUUUGCACAUGGCCUUUAUAGAUUUGAAAAAAGCGUUUGGUAGGGUCCAAAAGAAAUUCUUUGGAGGAUUCUAGAGAAGAAAGGAGUACAAGUAGCAUAUAUCCAAGCAAUAAAGGACAUGUACGAUGGAGCAAUGAUUGCAGUAAGAACUCAUGAAAUACAAACUGAAAGCUUUCCCAUAACCAUAGGGUUCAUCGGCUCAACUUUAAGUCCUUAACUUUUUGCAUUGUUAAUAGAUGAGUUAACGGACAUAUUCAAGAUGAUAUCCAUGCUUUUUGGAGAUGAUAUAGUGCCCGUAGAUGAAAUACAGGAGGUAGUAAAUGCGAAGCUUAACCUUUGGUGGGAAGUGUUGGAAUCUAAAGGUCUUCGCCUAAGUAGGUCAACGACAGAGUAUAUAGAGUGCAAGAAUGGGGUUCUAAAUGAAAUAGGGGUGAGUAUUGGAGAUCAAGAAGUACCAAAGAGUGAACGCUUUUGUUAGCUUAGAUUUAUCUUGCAAAAGAACGGAGAAUUCAAUGGAGAUCUCAACCGUAGAAUACAAGCUAGAUGGAUGAAGUGGAAGAGUGCAUCGGGUGUGUUGUGCGACCGUCUAUGCUACUAAAGCACAAGGAAAAUUUUUAUAGGACGACAAUAAGGCCAACAAUGCUUUAUGGUACAAAAUGUUGGGCGGUCAAGCAUCAACACGUGCAAAAAAUAAGUGUAGAAGAGAUGAGAAUGCUUUGUUGGAUGUGUAGGCACACAAGAAAGGAAAAAAAUCAAGUACGAGGAUGUUCGAUGUCAAGUAGGAGUGGCCGCAAUUGAAGAUAAGAUGAGAGAAAAUCGAUUAAGGUGGUUUAGACAUGUGAAACGAAGACCUACAUAUGCUUUGGUUAGAAAAUGUGAUUACGAGACUGAGGAUCAAGGCAAAAGGGGUAGAGGAAGACCUACGAAGACCUAAGAAGAAAUGGAAAGAGACUUUAAGAAAAGACAUGGAGUACUUGGAGCUAACGGAAGACUUGGUGCAAAUCCGAGCGCAGUGGCGUUCUAGGAUUCAUACAGCCGACCCCAUUUCGUGGGAUAAGGCUUUGAUGUUGUUGUAUAGUAUGGGGAGUAGAUGAAAAGUCACUUCCAUAUUAUACCAGUAUACUGAAAUUAUGCAGUUACUCAGCUGCAAAAAGAAUUAACUGUUCUGUCUGCACUCAGUAGCACUUCUAUGAUUUGAAAUAAGAACUAACUGUUUUGUCUGUACUAAGGAGUACUUCUCUGAUUUUCAUAGAGAUUCUAAUUUACAAUCAAUAGCAUGCAAAGUGCAAAUGAAUUUUAGAUUCAGAAGAAGAAGCCAAGAUGCAUUUCACUAGUGCAAGCUGAAUCCAAUAUCAAUAAAUGAAAGAUAAAUGUAAUUAAACAUGGUUCACACACACCAAUCUACAAGAACAAACAGAUAAUUUACCAGAAUAUUUGCGGCGCUUAGCUUUCUUUUUCGUACCGGACCGCGACUUUCUUGAAGAUUGACCAGAAAUUACACUCACAUGCCUGGAUUUUGUGUUAACUUCAUCCAGGUUUCCAGAGUGCUGAGCAGAGUCAUUUUCAAAUGAAUUGGCGGAGACUUUAUCAACCUUCUCGGGAACAUUUUGAUCAUUAAUUCUAACAUCAGGAACAUCUCUACCAUCAUCAUGUGAUUUUUCUUCACCAAAAUGGUCAUCAUUCUGAUGUCUUGUAUCAUUAUAUUCAUCCAUGUGAGUUUCAUGAAAAUCAAUCCCGUCAUCAUAUUCGUCAUCAACAUCAAUUACAUCCUUUUGCUUAACCAAAUCUUCAUCCUUUUGCUUAUCCAAAUCUUCAUCCUUUUGCUUAUCCAAAUCUUCAUCCUUAUACUGUUGAAUGUUCUUCAGAGAGGCCUCAUACUCUGCUUCAUAAACUUUCAACUCAUUGCGCCCAGCUUCGUUGUACAAUCCCCCUUUCCUAUUGUAACUUUUACUUAAGUAGUCAUUUGAGGACUUCUUGUCACUGCUUUUAACACUCACAGGAACAUCACCCUUAUAUGUGGAUUUAUCCCUAACACCUGCACUACUAUGCUCCACCUCAUCCUCGUUAUAAUCUUCAUCCCUUCUCCUAUCAUCUUUAUCCCAAUACCUAGAAUCUCGGCCAUGAACUACCGAACCCUUUCCAAACCUAAGGACCUUAGAAGUCUCUGUACGUGUCACGUUUGCGAGAAAGUCAGGAUCAUUCUUCAAGUCGUCUUCCUCAGCAUGACUAUUUAUUUCUGCACCAACACGAGAAAGCAAUCACUUGAGCUAGAAUCCAUAUACUUCCAUAACCACAUACUGUUGAGUUAAUCAUAACAAAAAUGUAAAGGCGUAUUUUGUAACAUUUCUUCAACAACCAUGGAAAGGAAAUUAAACAAUUAAUUGGGUUGAUCCUUUUCCUGUAUAUUAUCGACAAUCAAACCAGCACAUUAAAUACUCAGAAUGCAAGUGAAACAUAGUGACAAGCUCUUUUUCUCCGAAUGUUUCGCUCUUUCUGCUUAACAAAACAUGAUCAUAUGCUUAGCUAAAAUGAACUGUAACACAGAUCUUUCAUUGCAGAAACACUUGGUUCUCUCCGAAACCGAAAUGCGAAAUCAACUAAGAAACUAAACUAGAAUGAUCACUGUUUCUAUAUUUUCUCAGCAACCAAACAAAGGCAGUCGCCACCAAACAUUCAAAGUGCAUAAGAUUGACAACUAACUAACUCUCCUUUCCUUUCCUACAUUUUCCCUGAAACCAAACAGAAAGUUAUUGUAGAAAAUUGACAAGCAAAAGCAAAACAUACAUACCUCCGCUGCUGCGGGAGAGGUAAUAGUAGGCGAGAAGAGUGGCAAGGAGGACUAGAGAGAGGACGAGGACGACGGCGCCAACGGAGAUUCUAAGUGGGCCCUUGUCGGAUCGACCCGAUCGGCGGGUCCGAACGGGCUUGUGGGGAGCGGAGCGGAUCCCUACGACGAGGUGAUCUGGUCGUCCUCCGCCGUUGGAAUGGUGGGGAUCGUGGCCGCGUAAUCCCAACCGCUCCAGCCCUGACUGCCUCUGCUGAGCCAUUAUUGCAUCGUUAAUUUCAGUCCCCUCUCUCUACGCUGUGGAGUCCUCCCACAAAUUACGUAUGAUUUGACUACUCUCCGCUUUUUUAUUUUUUAUUUAUUUUUUUUUCCGUUUGCGAAGAGUCUGAAGGAAGAGCGUGAAUACUAAAAAAAGACGUAAGAUAUUGCGUUGUUUGUAACAGCGGUAAACUGUUAAAUUGUGAGCGGAUGAAAUUGAAAUAAGCCCACCCUCCACCCUAUACAACACGAUAAGACGAAGACCUGGUUUGGGAGUUAGGUGCUUAAAAAAAACACCCAUAAAAAAAAAUUGUGAGGGUUUUAAGUAUUUGGUAAACUGAAAAAAAAGGCUGAUUUUGGAAGCUGCUGUGAGAAUAAGCUGAAAUCAAAAGAAAAAGCUGAAGAUGCUAUUUGCAGCUUUGGAAAACUGGCUUUUUUUUCAAAGCACACGCGGAAGUACAGUGCUCCUUUAAUGAAAAGACCCACAAUCAGACUGUUUUUUUUUUUCCAAAAGCACUUUUACAAAAAAGUUUACCAAACAGUCUGCUGAUUUAUUUCACAACCGCUUAUUCUCACAGCAUAACCGUUUAUUCUCGCAGCAAUUUUUUUUCAAAGCACAGCAAUACCAAACCAGCAUGAAAACUAAUGAUUGUCAAAAUAAUGUGUGAUAUAAAAAUAUAUCUAAUAAUUGUCAAAAUCAAAAUAAACCUGUGAGGACCCAGCAGGAGCAACAGCAGAGUCCUUCAAAUUCCUUAUCAUCAUUCGUCUAAUAAUCCAUUUCAGUUUCUUUUCCCUCCACCUCUCUCCCGCACACCAAAAUCCCCAAAACACUGAGAUGGCCAUGGCCAUGGCCUUGUCAUCAACACCUCGCAUUCUCUCUCCUUAUUGCCCAACGCACCACUCAUUUCUCUCUCACACUUCUCUCUCUUCCUUACCCAGGACUGCCACCACCCUCUCCGCCUUCCCAACUUCUCCAGCGCUUCCGAAAUCUCCAUCGAAUAGCAGAAGAAUCAAGUGCGUCGAUAAGGCCUCUUCGGCUUCGAGCGCCGAUCCAACGUCUGGAAUUGCAGUCUACAAGCCCAAGUCCUAUGAAGUUCUUGUUACUGAUGCUGCAAGAUCGCUUGCUUAUGCUCUCGAAGACGGGAAGACCCGCUUGGAGAUUGAUUUCCCGUAAGUCCUCUUGCUCUUUUGUACGUUUAUUUCGAUUAGAAUUUUUGAGUUUUGAGAGAAAUUGCAGUACAAGUUAUGGAAGAUUUUGAAGUUUCUAACUUUUGUUUGUUUCAUGGGAAAUUGGUAAUUUUCAGAGUGGUUUCUUGGUGCCCAUUUGGUUAAUCUAGCUUGGAAUGGUUUUAGUAAAACCCAGCUUAGAAUGUUCAUUUGUGAGCAUGCUAUUUCAGUGCAUUUGGACUGAUUCGGUUUAUCUUUUGUUAUAAAUUUCUUGUUUUAGAUUGUAAAAUCUCCAUAUACGUACAUCAUUCCUGAAAGUAGCCUUUGGGAUUAGAUAUCGCUGCUGAAAUUUACCUUCCAUGGUGUUGAAUUCAUAUAUGUUCGGUCAGCGUACCAGCUAGUUCUUUGUCUAGUUGUAUUUCUCUAUUGAAUGUUCAAAGAGAUCCUAAGUUCGAAUCCCACCUCGCCCAUUGAUCAGAGAAAUAUAUGUUAACUAAGUGAAGCUCAGGCAUGAUCAAUUAGGGAUUAAUGUUAUUUAUGACGAUGUUGAGCACACUGUAAUUUUGGGAAUCUUGACAUGUUUGGUACUAUAAAUAACUUUCCAUUUAGGAAAAAGAUGGAAUUUAUCUUACAAAGGCUGAGAAGCUUAUGGGGCAACAAAGAAGUAGAACAAGGCUUCGGGAAGCUUACUUGACGAAAUAAAAACUUGGUUAAGACAGUGCAUGAUAAAGGGCACAUUACCUUGGAAAUGCUAAUAAUAAUGUAAAAUAUUUAUGGAAGUUUGUUAAAAGAAUGUUAUGCAGUUUAGAGACUACUAGAUAAUGUGAGUUCAUUCUUUUCUUUGGGAUUCCAAACUAUCUUUCCACUUGGAUGAGCAUUUUGGUAUGUUUCUUAUUGUUUAGACGCUUGGUUGGAUAUAAUAUUUUUGCCCUUCUAAUACUUAUUCUUUUUCAUGUACCUUAUAUUUUCGAGCUUGUGCCUCCAGUCCCCUGCCUAGCGACAUAUCUUCUUAUAAGGUAUCUCUUUUUGCUACCAAGUUAUUAGAUUACUGGAUGACCCAUAAUGGUCACACGCUAUUGUUUAUUAAAGGUUCUGUUCACUUUCCACUAGUUCCUUAUAAGAUGCAUCCUGUUUCCACUCUAUGUAGUCAUCAGUGUUACUUGUUUUUUGUGUUCUGUUUUUCUUGGCGCUACUUAAACUUUAAAGUUAUGCUACACUUACGCCCCAACCCCAAAGAAAAAAAUGCUAUACUUUAGCCCCAAAUCAUUGUUCUUUGAUUUCAUCUUAUCAAUUACAGUGAUAUAGCUUCUUGAUGACACAUAGCAAUCUGAAUACAUGAGACAUAAUUUUCUCAACUUCCUAAACAUGUAAAAGGGGUCUUCAGAUGAAUUCAUUGAUGCGAAUGUACAACUUGUCUUGGCUGUUGUAAGGAAGCUCAAAGAAAUACGGGAAACAAGAGCUUGCAUUGUAAGAAGAAUCUUUGUUUCACAUAGACAUUUUAUUUUGUCAAUUUAAAGAGUAUGCUAAAAAAUUUCUAUCUUCAGGUGUUUCCUGAUAAGCCAGAAAAGCGCAGGGCCUCUGAGCAGUUCAAAACGGCUAUCGACUCAGUAAAAACAUAACUCAGAAUUUUACUAUUCUCUAAUUUCUUUGUGUAAUUUAAAUGCACCAGAUCUCCUCACCCCACAAAUUCAGAAUUGAUUUAGUGAUUGAGAAUAACUUUGCGAUCAGAAAAGGUGAAAUAUUGCCAAAAGGGCUCUUGAGUAAGUAGAUUACCGUUCAACAUUAAGCUCUCUAAAUCGUUUUUUUCAUUUUGAUUAUUUUCUUUCAGCUCGAUGAUAUAACAAUAGGUUCCCUGGAUGAUGUCCCCAGUGGUCCAGUCACCAAGUUCUUCCAAUCUAUAAGGGACACACUUGAUUUUGACUUUGAAGAUGAAAAUGAAGGUUGAUUAUGAAUUUAUAAUAUAGGACUCAAAUGCUUGCUUGUUUAUUUCGUCAAAUGAAUGCUUGUGUUCCUCUUCUUAAUUUCAUCUCAACUGAAGAUUUUCAUGCUAAUUUGAUUGCUUUCUUUUUGUUCAACGUAUGAUCCAUUUUAUCCGUGGAGUACUAGUUUUCAUCACUAUGUUAUAUCUUACAAUUGCAGGUCGCUGGGCAUCCAGUCAGCCUCCCUCUCUUUAUAUUUUCAUAAAUUGUAGCACUCGUGAGCUUGCUCCAAUAGAGAAGUAUGUGGUAUGGUCUCCUCUUUUUUAGUUCUCUCAACCAUUUUGAAUGUUUGACUUGCAGUCAUGAUUUUAAUAUCAUUUGAUAGAUGAAUGCUCGUUCCUACCAUUAAAUUUUGUUAUAUAUAUAUAUAUAUAUAUAUGAGUUUUAUGUUUGAUGAUUGUAUACUUCUAUAAGUAUUAACUAUGGUUUUGGACUUGAAAACUUUUAAGGGUUUCUUAUGGUGUCAUAACUUUCGCAUGCUAGUUAUAUUAAUUGAUAUUUCCCAAUCAAUAUAUUUCUGUAAGAUUAGUUUGAUACCAGUAAUCUUUCUAGUGCUGCAGAUUUAUCUUUUGGAAUCUAAAAAAAAACAGUCGUUUAAUCUAGAAGAUCUAGAAACUGACGCACAAAACUCUGCUAAGCCAUUUCAAGAUUAUGAACUUGAAAAUUACAGAGGUCAAGAAAUUAAAUGUGCUAGCAUUGGUUAUUUAGUGAUCUAUCAAAUGUGUACUCCCUCUAUUACUGGAUCCGAGGCCUGUGGUUUUAGGAACAUGUAGUCUUAUGCAUAUUUUCAGGUUCAACUCACAAGUGCACUUGUUUUACGUAUUUACUAAAUUCCAUGUACAAUUGAAUUGAUAAUUUGAUUUAUUGGGCAUCUUAAAAUGUUAAGGUGUAGUAUAUAUGCCAUUUCCCGGCUACAUAAUCUUAUUCCAAUUCUGUAGCUAAGUAUAGCAUCGAGUCUAAAGGUGUCAUCGUCUUGUUAUAAGUUUGAAGUGUCUGCGUUCUGAAGUUGACUGUUUCACAUUUUAAAUCAUGAGAAUUGUGUGGCUGGUGUUAUUGAAUCUGUCAAUUAUUGUGUGAAGUAUUAUUGCUGCUGCUGCUGCCUCUUUUCCAACUGUAACUCUUUGGGAUUUGCAGGAAACAUUUGCCAUGUCAACCCCAACACUUCUAUUUAAUCUUGAACUAGACACAUUGCGGUAAUCCUUAUUGACCAUCCAUUGGAAUCUGAUUUUGCUAUCUCUGAAUAUACUUUUCAUCUUACAUUAGAAAUAUACUUUUCAUCUUACAUUAGAAUCUGUUAAUUAUGCAGUGCCGACUUGGGCCUUUUUGGCUUUCCAACCAAAGAUUUGCACUAUCGCUUUCUUUCUCAAUUUACACCAGUGUUCUAUAUCCGAAUAAGAGAUUACUCAAAGGUAUACAAUUAAUUUGCAUUUCAUAAUUUUUUUUCUUAAUAUAAAUUUUUGGUAACCAUGUAUUUGUUAACUCUCAAGACAGUAGCAGUAGCGCCUUAUAUAGUGAAUUACAGUGGAGCUAUUUCGCCAAUACCCUGGUAUGUAAUAUGUUUUCUUUUUAACAAAUUUUACCACCUGAUUGUUGUCUAUUCCUCGUCCUAUCCUUGAUAACCUUCAUUAAGGUUUAUAAUCUAACUUCUCACAUAAAUUGGAGCACAUUACUUGGAUUUUAGAUUAGACAAUAAGUUCUCGGAGGAAUGAUUAAAGAAUAGUCAGAAGUUAUUUUAAGUUAUGCUAAAUUAUGCAAGGCCUAUUAUCCAUGUGACAAGGGUUUCUCAACAUUAAUGCCUGUUUGGAUUUGACGAAGAAUGCAUUGUUCAUGUUUGCAAAUCGUGGUCACAAAAGUAACCCAUUAUAAGCACGUCAAUAAAUAUUUAUUCUUGUUUGUUUCCAACAGUCUAGAAUUUGAUUAUUUUGGGACCAUUUGUACUACUUGCAGAAUCUGUGUGCAUCUUUGUUCUAACACUGACUGUUAUUCUUUUUGGUAUGGAGUAGCCUUGAUUUUAUUGUAAUUAACGUUUGUACUUGGAGGUGUUAUUAUUACGGUGGCGAGGGACAUAUAUUCAUCUUACUAGGAACAUUUUAUUUAUCAAUAUAAUCGUUGUUCUCUGAUAUCCUUUUUUGUACGUUUUAGAAGUUAGUAUAUACGACACUUCCAUUUUUCUGUUUUAUACUUUAUGAAAAACAAGACGAAAUCAGCUAUGUGCUAUGUGAUUCUCACUGGAGGUUUAUAAAAUCUUAUUCUGUGACGCCUUAAGGUGUCUGGUUGUCCCUUUGUAAUUUCUUUACCAACUACAACAACAACAACAACAACAACAAAGCCUUUUCCCACUAAGUGGGGUCGGCUAUAUGAAUCCUAGAACGCCAUUGCGCUCGGUUUUGUGUCAUGUCCUCCGUUAGAUCCAAGUACUCUAAAUCUUUUCUUAGAGUCUCUUCCAAAGUUUUCCUAGGUCUUCCUCUACCCCUUCGGCCCUGAACCUCUGUCCCGUAGUCACAUCUUCGAACCAGAGCGUCAGUCGGCCUUCUUUGCACAUGUCCAAAUCACCGGAGCCGAUUUUCUCAUCUUUCCUACAAUUUCGGCUACUCCUACUUUACCUCGGAUAUCCUCAUUCCCAAUCUUAUCCUUUCUCGUGUGCCCACACAUCCCACGAAGCAUCCUCAUCUCCGCUACACCCAUUUUGUGUACGUGUUGAUGCUUCACCGCCCAACAUUCUGUGCCAUAAAACAUCGCUGGCCUUAUUGCCGUCCUAUAAAAUUUUCUCUUGAGCUUCAGUGGCCUACGACGGUCACACAACACGCCGGAUGCACUCUUACACUUCAUCCAUCCAGCUCGUAUUCUAUGGUUGAGAUCUCCAUCUAAUUCUCCGUUCUCUUGCAAGAUAGAUCCUAGGUAGCGAAAACGGUCGCUUUUUGUGAUCUUCGCUAGAUUGCUCCGGUCAUUAGUGUGGAUAAGUAUAUAAAUGGAUAGAGAUAGGAAAGCAAACACAAGAUGUACGUGGUUCACCCAGAUUGGCUACGUCUACGGAAUAGAAGAGUUCUCAUUAAUUGUGAAGGGUUUACACAAGUACAUAGGUUCAAGCUCUCAUUUAGUGAGUACAAGUGAAUGAUUUAGUACAAAUGACAUUAGGAAAUAUUGUGGGAGAAUGAUCUCGUAAUCACGAAACUUCUAAGUAUCGGAGUGUGGUGUCGUCUUGACUUGCCUUAUCUGUCUCAUAGGUAGAUGUGGCAUCUUCUCUGGAAGUACUCUUCCUCCAUCCAGGGGUGGUAUCUUUAACUGGUGGAGAUGCACAAGGUAAUGUAUCAAUUUCACUUGAAGCUUACUUGUAGUUUCAGGCUUGGUCAAGCGCGAUACAAACCAUGUAGUAGGAGUCCCCCAAGUCGCCGAGCUAGGGGGUCUGCUGAAAGAGGUGACAGACAAGGUAAGCAAUCAGAGCUCCGACUGAUUGUUCACCUUCUCCCCAUCUUGCAGCAGCAUGAAGGAUAAAGAGAAGAAAAAAUGAGAAGAGAUGAUAUGAGAUACUUUUGCUUUUGAAGAAGUAACUUUCCACAGGCUUAUUCUUGAACUGAGCUGGAGGGUUUUCUGGUUUCCUCCAGAGUAUAAGGCCGACUGAAGAAUUUGAGGGUCAAAACAAGUCCAUCAAAUCUAGAGUACGUUCCACCCUGCUGAUAUGGGAUACUUUUGCUUUUGACAGAGUAAUGGAUGUAUCGGCACGUGUGCUGUUACGCUUGUCUCCACAUGCUUCCUUGUAUCCUUCGCACUUGCCCUAUCUGUUCCUCAAGCAGAUGCGUAAUCUUCCCUGGAAACAUAACAUGUUGAAGAUGAGUACUCGAGAGCAAUGCCAGGUAAGUAAUCAGGUAAGGAGUUCCAGGCAGUCAGUUCCUGGCUGGAAGCUUGAUUCCAAGUGCUGACUGAUUGCUCUCUUUCUCCUUGUCUUGCAGGUAAAAACAAGGCCAAAGGAAAAGACAGGGAAAAAACAUGAUAUGGGAUACUCUUGCUUUUAACCCUGAUGAUAUGAGAUAUUC
RNAcentral lists this long non-coding RNA (20124 nucleotides) under Malus domestica (apple). Its description in RNAcentral is "long non-coding RNA (MDOM_LNC009027)". Lineage: Eukaryota; Viridiplantae; Streptophyta; Magnoliopsida; Rosales; Rosaceae. The record is from RNAcentral.